AGAGUUUGAUCAUGGCUCAGGAUGAACGCUAGCGGCAGGCCUAAUACAUGCAAGUCGAACGCUCAGUAGCAAUACUGGGGAGUGGCGCACGGGUCGCGUAACGCGUACACAAUCUACCUCUAAGCGGGGGACACCUCCUGGAAACGGGGAUUAAUACCGCAUAAUAUGCCGAAGUCGCAUGACUUUGGUAUUAAAGCAGCAAUGCACUUAGAGAUGAGUGUGCGUCCCAUUAGGUAGUUGGUGAGGUAACGGCUCACCAAGCCUAUGAUGGGUAGCCGGUCUGAGAGGAUGGUCGGCCACACGGGCACUGAGACACGGGCCCGACUCCUACGGGAGGCAGCAGUAAGGAAUAUUGGACAAUGGUGGAAACACUGAACCAGCCAUGCCGCGUGGAGGAAUAAGGUCCUACGGAUUGUAAACUCCUUUUGACGAGGAAGAAAAUGUUAGAUUUAUCUAAUUUUGACGGUACUCGUAGAAUAAGCACCGGCUAACUCCGUG
RNAcentral lists this ribosomal RNA (498 nucleotides) under uncultured bacterium. Its description in RNAcentral is "bacterial SSU rRNA". It matches the Rfam family "Bacterial small subunit ribosomal RNA", at positions 8 to 507 of the family's 1533-position model. The record is from RNAcentral.